NNNNNCGACCAUAGGGUGUGGAAAACAGGGCUUCCCGUCCGCUCAGCCGUACUUAAGCCACACGCCGGUGAGUUAGUAGUUGGGUGGGUGACCACCAGCGAAUCCUCACUGUUGUAUGUU
Molecule: non-coding RNA, 120 nt
Organism: Penicillium camemberti
Lineage: Eukaryota; Fungi; Ascomycota; Eurotiomycetes; Eurotiales; Aspergillaceae
Source: Rfam